RNAcentral lists this ribosomal RNA (459 nucleotides) under uncultured bacterium. RNAcentral describes it as "partial 16S ribosomal RNA". It matches the Rfam family "Bacterial small subunit ribosomal RNA", at positions 338 to 795 of the family's 1533-position model. The record is from RNAcentral.
CCUACGGGACGCAGCAGUGAGGAAUAUUGGUCAAUGGCCGGAAGGCUGAACCAGCCAAGCCGCGUGAAGGACGAAGGUGCCAAGCAUUGUAAACUUCUUUUGUCAAGGGACUAAAUCCGGCUCGAGAGCCUGACCCAGGGUACUUGAAGAAAAAGCAUCGGCUAACUCCGUGCCAGCAGCCGCGGUAAUCCGGAGUAUGCUAUAGUUAUCCGGAUUUAUUGGGUUUAAAGGGUGCGUAGGCGGACUGUUAAGACGGCGGUAAAAGCCCGGGGCUCAACCCCGGGGAGCCGUUGAAACUGGCUGUCUUGAGAUGUCGAGAGGUAUGCGGAAUGCGCAGUGUAGCGGUAAAAUGCUUAGAUAUUGCGCAGAACUCCGAUUGCGAAGGCAGCAUACCGGCGGCGAUCUGACGCUGAGGCACGAAAGCGUGGGUAUCGAACAGGAUUAGAUACCCGAGUAGUC